CCCUAACGAUUCUGCUCGUUCU
This 22-nucleotide small nuclear RNA is filed under the name Arabidopsis thaliana (thale cress). RNAcentral's name for it is "snRNA_08957". The record is from RNAcentral. Lineage: Eukaryota; Viridiplantae; Streptophyta; Magnoliopsida; Brassicales; Brassicaceae.